UGUGAAGGAGGGUGGGUGGCGGCUGGAGCGAAAGGAGGAGUGGGUGGCGGGUGGAGCAGGGAGAGGAGUGGUAGAGAGGGAUGGGAGGCGGGAGACGGAGGACGGAGCUUGGGGGUCUAGGUUAGGUGUGUUGUGGCGGCGGGGGCGUGGGGCAUGACAGGUGGUACCGGCGGAGGAGGAGGAGGAGCGAGGCCUAGGGGUGUGGUUGGGUGGUGGAGCGGCACCCCCGCACAGGCGCCGCCGACGGGAAGGUGCAGCAGAGGGGUGUCGUCCGCGGCCGUGGCCCGCUGCCGCUGCUGCGGUUGCCCGGGUGGCCGCACGGGCACGGGAAGAUGGCACGCCCGUCGACAAGGCCGCCCCCAGCUGCGGCGUCCACCACGCGCUCCUCCACCUGCUGAAGGACACGAGGCUCUCCCCGACGGCGGCAGCGCACGACGGCCUUGUUCGUCGUCCCCUCGAAGACGAACCGCGUACGCAGAGGAAGGAAGCCGUCUUCAUCGUCCACUCCUUCUUGGUCGACGGCUGCCCGCUCCCGUACCCCAUGGACCUCCGGUUCGUGGUGGACGACGAGAACAGAGUGGGUAUUGAACCAAAUAUACGUACCAAAGUUCACUUGAAUAGUAUCGAAUACAACAACGAAAACACCUAUGACGAUGGGCAACGAAUUUACGACGGAAUUGAACAAUCGUACAAGUACACUUAACCGAUUGAUGACGGACAAUUAAUGCUGAUGAGUGACGACGAUAUAAGAUAAUCGUGGUUGAGACGACGGGCACAUAAUAUAUAUAUAAGAAGAACGAGUUCGUGUUCUCGUGAUCACGAUACAACGACGGACACUGUCAGGUACCUGUUUGAGACAAUUAAAUAAGGCUCACGGGUAUUAAGGGAGAGAUCGUCGUGGUGGACACGAGAACACAGUGGGUAUUGUUGUUAAAUGAACUUCACGAGUACAUCCAAUUAAUAAUUCGUAUGGACAUAAGAGUCAUGGUACGAUGAAUAAAACGGAGGACUCCAAAGAUCAGACGAUAAAGAACGAAAGGAAAUAGAAGUAUGAAUAAUACUACCGUUAAACUGAACUUCACGAGUACAUCCAAUUAAUAAUUCGUAUGGACUUGUAUAACCCGACAUGAGCACAUCAUCCUAUGCUCCGAGAUCAAAUCAAAAGACAUCUUAUACAUUAUAACUUCAUAGGAAACAACACGCUUAAGUAUCUCGGAUUAUAAAUGAGUAGGGCUCAGAGUCUAGUAUAAUGUCGAUAGAAAAGUAACGUAACACGUUCAGUGACUAUCCUCACUCUAACUUCAAUAGAAAACAGUUGGUACAAUGCUAGAAAGUCGUACGUACUACACGAAGUUACCAAAGAUAUAUGACUGUACCAUACUAGUAAACUGGUGGGACAGAGAUACACACACAUCUAUUACAGCUCUCGGCUACUGCUGUGCCACUACCUCCGCCACCUGAGCCUCCACAGCCACUGCACGUGCCUGUACCCCGACCAGGUCUUUCGCAAGGUCCGGGACGACACGUGGUUCGCCGUGGGGUAACUGGUCGGCUACUACGUGCUCCACCGGGCCCACGACGAGAGCGAGUACGUCGAGGACGGGAGGUCUAGGAUCGGAAGGAAACACAAAACAGCACUCCAGAUCCUACUUGUUCAGCCCGAGUAACCUCUAUCAAUAUGAUACUAUCGAUCAAUAAAAAAAACAUCAACACAAUGGACUACACUUGAAAAAUAAUAACAUUUGGACUACAAUUGGUACCAAGUAACAUUAUUACACGGUUCAAACCGAGACAAACUAACAUAAGUACUACACUUGGUACAAAAAGGCCUAAUCUAUACGAAACUUCGUAAAAUAAAAGAC
RNAcentral lists this ribosomal RNA (1862 nucleotides) under Triticum aestivum (bread wheat). RNAcentral's name for it is "partial small subunit ribosomal RNA". The record is from RNAcentral. Lineage: Eukaryota; Viridiplantae; Streptophyta; Magnoliopsida; Poales; Poaceae.